RNAcentral lists this ribosomal RNA (2900 nucleotides) under Enterobacter bugandensis. RNAcentral describes it as "23S ribosomal RNA". It matches the Rfam family "Bacterial large subunit ribosomal RNA". Lineage: Bacteria; Pseudomonadati; Pseudomonadota; Gammaproteobacteria; Enterobacterales; Enterobacteriaceae. The record is from RNAcentral.
UUAAGCGACUAAGCGUACACGGUGGAUGCCCUGGCAGUCAGAGGCGAUGAAGGACGUGCUAAUCUGCGAAAAGCGACGGCGAGGUGAUAUGAACCUUUGACCCGUCGAUGUCCGAAUGGGGAAACCCAGUGCAAUUCGUUGCACUAUCGUUAACUGAAUACAUAGGUUAACGAGGCGAACCGGGGGAACUGAAACAUCUAAGUACCCCGAGGAAAAGAAAUCAACCGAGAUUCCCCCAGUAGCGGCGAGCGAACGGGGAGCAGCCCGGAGUCUGAAUCAGCUUGUGUGUUAGUGGAAGCGUCUGGAAAGUCGCACGGUACAGGGUGACAGUCCCGUACACGAAAAUGCACAGGUUGUGAACUCGAAGAGUAGGGCGGGACACGUGGUAUCCUGUCUGAAUAUGGGGGGACCAUCCUCCAAGGCUAAAUACUCCUGACUGACCGAUAGUGAACCAGUACCGUGAGGGAAAGGCGAAAAGAACCCCGGCGAGGGGAGUGAAAAAGAACCUGAAACCGUGUACGUACAAGCAGUGGGAGCACCUUCGGGUGUGACUGCGUACCUUUUGUAUAAUGGGUCAGCGACUUAUAUUCUGUAGCAAGGUUAACCGUAUAGGGGAGCCGCAGGGAAACCGAGUCUUAACUGGGCGUUAAGUUGCAGGGUAUAGACCCGAAACCCGGUGAUCUAGCCAUGGGCAGGUUGAAGGUUGGGUAACACUAACUGGAGGACCGAACCGACUAAUGUUGAAAAAUUAGCGGAUGACCUGUGGCUGGGGGUGAAAGGCCAAUCAAACCGGGAGAUAGCUGGUUCUCCCCGAAAGCUAUUUAGGUAGCGCCUCGUGAAUUCAUCUUCGGGGGUAGAGCACUGUUUCGGCUAGGGGGCCAUCCCGGCUUACCAACCCGAUGCAAACUACGAAUACCGAAGAAUGUUAUCACGGGAGACACACGGCGGGUGCUAACGUCCGUCGUGAAGAGGGAAACAACCCAGACCGCCAGCUAAGGUCCCAAAGUCAUGGUUAAGUGGGAAACGAUGUGGGAAGGCACAGACAGCCAGGAUGUUGGCUUAGAAGCAGCCAUCAUUUAAAGAAAGCGUAAUAGCUCACUGGUCGAGUCGGCCUGCGCGGAAGAUGUAACGGGGCUAAACCAUGCACCGAAGCUGCGGCAGCGACACUAUGUGUUGUUGGGUAGGGGAGCGUUCUGUAAGCCGUUGAAGGUGUGCUGUGAGGCAUGCUGGAGGUAUCAGAAGUGCGAAUGCUGACAUAAGUAACGAUAAAGCGGGUGAAAAGCCCGCUCGCCGGAAGACCAAGGGUUCCUGUCCAACGUUAAUCGGGGCAGGGUGAGUCGACCCCUAAGGCGAGGCCGAAAGGCGUAGUCGAUGGGAAACAGGUUAAUAUUCCUGUACUUGGUGUUACUGCGAAGGGGGGACGGAGAAGGCUAUGUCAGCCGGGCGACGGUUGUCCCGGUUUAAGCGUGUAGGUGUGUGUUCCAGGCAAAUCCGGUUCACUUUAACACUGAGGCGUGAUGACGAGGCACUACGGUGCUGAAGUGAUAAAUGCCCUGCUUCCAGGAAAAGCCUCUAAGCAUCAGGUAACACGAAAUCGUACCCCAAACCGACACAGGUGGUCAGGUAGAGAAUACCAAGGCGCUUGAGAGAACUCGGGUGAAGGAACUAGGCAAAAUGGUGCCGUAACUUCGGGAGAAGGCACGCUGAUAUGUAGGUGAAGCCCCUGCGGGCGGAGCUGAAAUCAGUCGAAGAUACCAGCUGGCUGCAACUGUUUAUUAAAAACACAGCACUGUGCAAACACGAAAGUGGACGUAUACGGUGUGACGCCUGCCCGGUGCCGGAAGGUUAAUUGAUGGGGUUAGCGGCAACGCGAAGCUCUUGAUCGAAGCCCCGGUAAACGGCGGCCGUAACUAUAACGGUCCUAAGGUAGCGAAAUUCCUUGUCGGGUAAGUUCCGACCUGCACGAAUGGCGUAAUGAUGGCCAGGCUGUCUCCACCCGAGACUCAGUGAAAUUGAACUCGCUGUGAAGAUGCAGUGUACCCGCGGCAAGACGGAAAGACCCCGUGAACCUUUACUAUAGCUUGACACUGAACACUGGUCCUUGAUGUGUAGGAUAGGUGGGAGGCUUUGAAGCGUGGACGCCAGUCUGCGUGGAGCCGUCCUUGAAAUACCACCCUUUAAUGGCUGGUGUUCUAACGUGGACCCGUGAUCCGGGUUGCGGACAGUGUCUGGUGGGUAGUUUGACUGGGGCGGUCUCCUCCCAAAGAGUAACGGAGGAGCACGAAGGUUAGCUAAUCCUGGUCGGACAUCAGGAGGUUAGUGCAAUGGCAUAAGCUAGCUUGACUGCGAGAGUGACGGCUCGAGCAGGUGCGAAAGCAGGUCAUAGUGAUCCGGUGGUUCUGAAUGGAAGGGCCAUCGCUCAACGGAUAAAAGGUACUCCGGGGAUAACAGGCUGAUACCGCCCAAGAGUUCAUAUCGACGGCGGUGUUUGGCACCUCGAUGUCGGCUCAUCACAUCCUGGGGCUGAAGUAGGUCCCAAGGGUAUGGCUGUUCGCCAUUUAAAGUGGUACGCGAGCUGGGUUUAGAACGUCGUGAGACAGUUCGGUCCCUAUCUGCCGUGGGCGCUGGAGAAUUGAGGGGGGCUGCUCCUAGUACGAGAGGACCGGAGUGGACGCAUCACUGGUGUUCGGGUUGUCAUGCCAAUGGCACUGCCCGGUAGCUAAAUGCGGAAGAGAUAAGUGCUGAAAGCAUCUAAGCACGAAACUUGCCCCGAGAUGAGUUCUCCCUGAGACUUUAAGUCUCCUGAAGGAACGUUGAAGACGACGACGUUGAUAGGCCGGGUGUGUAAGCGCAGCGAUGCGUUGAGCUAACCGGUACUAAUGAACCGUGAGGCUUAACCU